Molecule: long non-coding RNA, 317 nt
Filed under: Elaeis guineensis (African oil palm)
Lineage: Eukaryota; Viridiplantae; Streptophyta; Magnoliopsida; Arecales; Arecaceae
Description: long non-coding RNA (EGUI_LNC000882)
Source: RNAcentral
CAUCAGACUGAUUACUUUGGUCGGCUUGUCAAGGCUUUUAUUGUAAAUAACGUAGAAGUUUUAGUUUGAUAGUCAAAAGCAAUCCAAGUAGUUACCAUGUUUGGCUGCAUUCUGAUGACUGAGUUUUUGCAGUAUUCAUUUCAAAUGGCUUUUGAGGUACAUUGGACUGUCAUUCUUUCACCUCUCUUUUGCUUCUAAUGACAACCUUUCUUUUCUCCUAUAACACAUCGGUGCUUAAUCUUUUCCUAGAUGCCUUUGCUUCUAUAUAUUAAGAUACUGAUAUAACCUAUAAAUUGCAUCCGUACUUCUUCCAUCAC